RNAcentral lists this unclassified non-coding RNA (257 nucleotides) under Hevea brasiliensis (rubber tree). The record is from RNAcentral. Lineage: Eukaryota; Viridiplantae; Streptophyta; Magnoliopsida; Malpighiales; Euphorbiaceae.
GGAUAUUACAAAUACCUUAAUAUUAUUUGAAAAACAAUGUUCCCUAUGGAAAACAAUCUCAGCUGUCUCACAGCUUAUGCUUUAUGCAGGUGUGUUAGAUACUAAGUAUAUCUCAUAAUUUUCACUCUCACUUUUAAACCAAAUGACCAUGGAAAUAGACUCUAAUGUACGCAGCUUCAUAAAUCUCACAAAUAAUCGAAAGUAUUUGAGUUGCAAUUAAAUGUUUUCAUUGAUUGAUUGGAAAAAAAAUACAAAGC